RNAcentral lists this ribosomal RNA (96 nucleotides) under uncultured bacterium. RNAcentral's name for it is "partial 16S ribosomal RNA". It matches the Rfam family "Bacterial small subunit ribosomal RNA", at positions 1386 to 1482 of the family's 1533-position model. The record is from RNAcentral.
CACACCGCCCGUCACACCAUGGAAGUCUGCUGCACCAGAAGUAGGUAGUCUAACCGCAAGGGGGCGCCUACCACGGUGUGGCCGAUGACUGGGGUG